RNAcentral lists this ribosomal RNA (425 nucleotides) under uncultured bacterium. Its description in RNAcentral is "bacterial SSU rRNA". It matches the Rfam family "Bacterial small subunit ribosomal RNA", at positions 354 to 796 of the family's 1533-position model. The record is from RNAcentral.
GUGGGGAAUCUUAGACAAUGGGGGAAACCCUGAUCUAGCCAUGCCGCGUGAUCGAUGAAGGCCUUAGGGUUGUAAAGAUCUUUCAGGUGGGAAGAUAAUGACUGUACCACCAGAAGAAGCCCCGGCUAACUCCGUGCCAGCAGCCGCGGUAAUACGGAGGGGGCUAGCGUUGUUCGGAAUUACUGGGCGUAAAGCGCACGUAGGCGGAUUGGAAAGUUGGGGGUGAAAUCCCGGGGCUCAACCCCGGAACUGCCUUCAAAACUCCCAGUCUUGAGUUCGAGAGAGGUGAGUGGAAUGCCGAGUGUAGAGGUGAAAUUCGUAGAUAUUCGGAGGAACACCAGUGGCGAAGGCGGCUCACUGGCUCGAUACUGACGCUGAGGUGCGAAAGCGUGGGGAGCAAACAGGAUUAGAAACCCCUGUAGUCC